RNAcentral lists this ribosomal RNA (879 nucleotides) under uncultured bacterium. RNAcentral's name for it is "bacterial SSU rRNA". It matches the Rfam family "Bacterial small subunit ribosomal RNA", at positions 8 to 916 of the family's 1533-position model. The record is from RNAcentral.
AGAGUUUGAUCAUGGCUCAGGAUGAACGCUGGCGGCGUGCCUAACACAUGCAAGUCGAGCGAUUCUCUUCGGAGAAGAGCGGCGGACGGGUGAGCAACGCGUGGGUAACCUGCCCUGUACACACGGAUAACAUACCGAAAGGUAUGCUAAUACGAGAUAAUAUGCUUUUGUCGCAUGGUAGAAGUAUCAAAGCUCCGGCGGUACAGGAUGGACCCGCGUCUGAUUAGCUAGUUGGUAAGGUAACGGCUUACCAAGGCGACGAUCAGUAGCCGACCUGAGAGGGUGAUCGGCCACAUUGGAACUGAGACACGGUCCAAACUCCUACGGGAGGCAGCAGUGGGGAAUAUUGCACAAUGGGCGAAAGCCUGAUGCAACAACGCCGCGUGAGCGAUGAAGGCCUUCGGGUCGUAAAGCUCUGUCCUCAAGGAAGAUAAUGACGGUACUUGAGGAGGAAGCCCCGGCUAACUACGUGCCAGCAGCCGCGGUAAUACGUAGGGGGCUAGCGUUAUCCGGAAUUACUGGGCGUAAAGGGUGCGUAGGUGGUUUCUUAAGUCAGAGGUGAAAGGCUACGGCUCAACCGUAGUAAGCCUUUGAAACUGGGAAACUUGAGUGCAGGAGAGGAGAGUGGAAUUCCUAGUGUAGCGGUGAAAUGCGUAGAUAUUAGGAGGAACACCAGUUGCGAAGGCGGCUCUCUGGACUGUAACUGACACUGAGGCACGAAAGCGUGGGGAACAAACAGGAUUAGAUACCCUGGUAGUCCACGCCGUAAACGAUGAGUACUAGCUGUCGGAGGUUACCCCCCCUCGGUGGCGCAGCUAACGCAUUAAGUACUCCGCCUGGGAAGUACGCUCGCAGAGUGAAACUCAAAGGAAUUGACGG